Molecule: long non-coding RNA, 397 nt
Organism: Rhipicephalus microplus (southern cattle tick)
Lineage: Eukaryota; Metazoa; Arthropoda; Arachnida; Ixodida; Ixodidae
Source: RefSeq, a predicted model, not a curated record
GUGCGAGGCAGUAUAUAUAGCAGUGUGAGGCAGUAUUCGAAGCUAGAAAGGUCCUUCAUUAUGGAGUUCCGAAAAACUGUUUGCCUCAUGGCCUGCGCGAUCCUCUUUUCACUAGUCGUAGAGCAAGCAUACGGACACGCAACCCGCAAGGUCAUCAAAAACAUUUGUCAGCGCGGCUGCCUCAAGAAGUGCUGCACCACCGGAGAUGGAAAACCGUUCCCUUGCGAUACACUAUGUGAAGAUCAAUGUGAAAAGCGAUGUCCAAAGGUCAUUCUUCCGCGAAAAUAAGGGGGUGGGUGCGUCACCAUUGAAAAAAUUUGUAAGUGGUGGACACAGGCAAUGUCAUUUCACGAAGGAUGAAAUUGUUUCAAUAAAAGAAGCCUUCGCAAACGCCGAA